AUACGGAGGGUCCGAGCGUUAUCCGGAAUCAUUGGGUUUAAAGGGUCCAUAGGCGGGAAUCUAAGUCAGUGGUGAAAUCUUGCAGCUCAACUGUAAAAUUGCCAUUGAUACUGGAUUUCUUGAAUUAGUGUGAAGUGGUUAGAAUGUGUAGUGUAGCGGUGAAAUGCAUAGAUAUUACACAGAAUACCAAUUGCGAAGGCAGAUCACUAACACUAUAUUGACGCUAAGGGACGAAAGCGUGGGGAGCGAACAGGAUUAGAUACCCUAGUAGUCC
RNAcentral lists this ribosomal RNA (274 nucleotides) under uncultured bacterium. RNAcentral describes it as "partial 16S ribosomal RNA". It matches the Rfam family "Bacterial small subunit ribosomal RNA", at positions 523 to 796 of the family's 1533-position model. The record is from RNAcentral.